RNAcentral lists this non-coding RNA (70 nucleotides) under Schistosoma mansoni. The record is from RNAcentral. Lineage: Eukaryota; Metazoa; Platyhelminthes; Trematoda; Strigeidida; Schistosomatidae.
UGAGUAACUCUACCUGUAGCUCUUCUAGAGUUACUGCCGGUCCCAAGCCCGGGUAAAGGAGGAGGAUUGA